UACUGGUUGUGCCGAGUCUAAUUUGG
Molecule: small RNA, 26 nt
Filed under: Bombyx mori (domestic silkworm)
Lineage: Eukaryota; Metazoa; Arthropoda; Insecta; Lepidoptera; Bombycidae
Description: ovarian small RNA-21544
Source: RNAcentral